This 460-nucleotide ribosomal RNA is filed under the name uncultured bacterium. RNAcentral describes it as "partial 16S ribosomal RNA". It matches the Rfam family "Bacterial small subunit ribosomal RNA", at positions 338 to 795 of the family's 1533-position model. The record is from RNAcentral.
CCUACGGGUGGCUGCAGUGAGGAAUAUUGGUCAAUGGCCGGAAGGCUGAACCAGCCAUGCCGCGUGAAGGUCAGUGCCCUAUGGGCGUUAAACUUCUUUUGUUCGGGAACAAUAAUGGUCACCUUUGGCCAGACGCGAGUACCGUUCGAAUAAGCAUCGGCUGACUCCGUUCCAGCAGCCGCGGUAAUACGGGUGAUGCAAGCGUUAUCCGGGUUUAGUGGGUUUAAAGGGGGCGUAGGCUGUGAGGUAAGUCAGCGUGGAAAUGCCCCCGCUCAACGGGGUGAAGUGCCAUUGAUACUGGCUUGCUGGAAUGCGGAUGCCGUGGGAGGAAUGUGUGGUGUAGCGGUGAAAUGCAUAGAUAUCACACAGAACACCGAUUGCGAAGGCAUCUCACGAAUCCGCGAUUGACGCUGAUGCACGAAAGCGUGGGUAUCAAACAGGAUUAGAUACCCGAGUAGUC